Molecule: ribosomal RNA, 440 nt
Filed under: uncultured bacterium
Lineage: Bacteria
Description: partial 16S ribosomal RNA
Rfam family: Bacterial small subunit ribosomal RNA
Source: RNAcentral
CCUACGGGAGGCAGCAGUCGGGAAUAUUGCGCAAUGGAGGAAACUCUGACGCAGUGACGCCGCGUGCAGGAAGAAGGUUUUCGGAUUGUAAACUGCUUUAGACAGGGAAGAAAAUGACGGUACCUGAAGAAGAAGCCCCGGCUAACUACGUGCCAGCAGCCGCGGUAAUACGUAGGGGGCAAGCGUUAUCCGGAUUUACUGGGUGUAAAGGGGGCGCAGACGGCGAUGCAAGCCAGGAGUGAAAGCCCGGGGCCCAACCCCGGGACUGCUCUUGGAACUGCGUGGCUGGAGUGCAGGAGGGGCAGGCGGAAUUCCUGGUGUAGCGGGGAAAUGCGUAGAUAUAAGGAGGAACACCGGUGGCGAAGGCGGCCUGCUGGACUGCAACUGACGUUGAGGCCCGAAAGCGUGGGGAGCAAACAGGAUUAGAUACCCGUGUAGUC